RNAcentral lists this ribosomal RNA (497 nucleotides) under uncultured bacterium. Its description in RNAcentral is "partial 16S ribosomal RNA". It matches the Rfam family "Bacterial small subunit ribosomal RNA", at positions 28 to 507 of the family's 1533-position model. The record is from RNAcentral.
GAUGAACGCUGGCGGCGUGCCUAAUACAUGCGAGUCGAGCGAACAGACGAGGAGCUUGCUCCUCUGACGUUAGCGGCGGACGGGUGAGUAACACGUGGAUAACCUACCUAUAAGACUGGGAUAACUUCGGGAAACCGGAGCUAAUACCGGAUAAUAUAUUGAACCGCAUGGUUCAAUAGUGAAAGACGGUUUUGCUGUCACUUAUAGAUGGAUCCGCGCCGCAUUAGCUAGUUGGUAAGGUAACGGCUUACCAAGGCAACGAUGCGUAGCCGACCUGAGAGGGUGAUCGGCCACACUGGAACUGAGACACGGUCCAGACUCCUACGGGAGGCAGCAGUAGGGAAUCUUCCGCAAUGGGCGAAAGCCUGACGGAGCAACGCCGCGUGAGUGAUGAAGAUCUUCGGAUCGUAAAACUCUGUUAUUAGGGAAGAACAAAUGUGUAAGUAACUAUGCACGUCUUGACGGUACCUAAUCAGAAAGCCACGGCUAACUACGUG